This 1606-nucleotide long non-coding RNA is filed under the name Gossypium barbadense (sea-island cotton). RNAcentral's name for it is "long non-coding RNA (GBAR_LNC013616)". The record is from RNAcentral. Lineage: Eukaryota; Viridiplantae; Streptophyta; Magnoliopsida; Malvales; Malvaceae.
UGCCUAGUCUGAGAUCCUUAAAUUUCACCCAAAAUUUGCAGCCCAACCUUUUUUCCUCUGUUUUUUCCCUCAACCUGUUCUCCUUAUUCCUUUUUCCCCCUGAAAUCCUUAAGUUCCACCCGAAAUUAGUAGCCUAACUAUUUUUCCCUAAAUCGGCAGCCCUGAAAUCAAUAUUGAAGGUUUGUUCUCGUGUCUUGAUUUGUUUUUUUUCGUAUGGAUUUUAUAUUAUUUUUGGGUAUGUUUUAAGAUGUGCGUAUCUAUAUUUUAGCUUAUUAUUACUCAAAAAUGGUGAACUUGGAUUCGACUGAUAGAAAAAUGGAUAUGGGUGUUCAUGGUUGUUCAUGGCUGUUCAUCUUUGUUUCCAUAAUUACAAAUGAACAUUUUUUAAAAUAAUUUUUGGGGACUAUUCAUUGGAAUUUAUAAAAUCUAGGGCUUUCAGUUUCUACCAGGUUGAAUUGGAAAGGCUUAAUUUUGACUGUUAGGCAGCUUGUCGAAAUCUCGUUUAACUGUAGAUCCAUUGAGUCAUGGAAAGUUAAAUUUUAGUCUUCAUUGUCCUUCCGUGUAGUUGGAAUUUCAGUAGUGUUUCUGUUUUCAAAUUAAUUCAUGGAGCUGUUACUCGUGAGUUUGACCAUUUAGUGUUAUUUGGGUAGUAUUGGUAGUUUUAAAACUUGAGAAAUUUGCAUUUUAGGUUUUAGGCUAUUUAAAAGAAAAAAAUACUGAUGGAAUUAUGUGGCAGCCUUGUUGCAUGGUGAUUAUGUGUUUGAUGCUGUUAUGAUUGAGAGAUUGUGUUUGCCCCCGGUAUCCUCUAGAUGAAAUAAUGUUGUUAAGUUAGACUCUGAGUAAGUGAGGUGCAAAGGUCAAUAAUCUGUAAUAUGAUGGUAUUGUAAUUGUUCUUCGUAACAAGUCGGUGAAAUUGCAAUCUGUCUCAAAGAUAUUGAAGUGUUAGUUCUCAUAUAUAACUUCAUGUUAUAGAUCUAUUUGUGAAUAUAUCUUCAUGUUUUCGAUCUAAAAAAUAUUUCCUGAAUUUGCUGGAGCUAUUUGAAUCUUGCCCAAUCUUCAUUUCUUAAUUCUAAUGCUGUAACUGUUUCCAUUGAAUUUUAAUUUUUUUUCUUCCUAAUGCUUGUAGGAAAAUAUCAAUUGCUUGCUCGGCAAGAGAUUGGUAAUUUCUUCUUCUGCAUUAUUUCUUUUUGUUCAAAAUAUUUGGUUAAAAGUUUCCUAACUUUGUCAUGUAAUUUACUCUACUAUCCUUUUAUCCUAGCUACCAUCUUCCUCUUGCUUUCUUGCUUGUUAUCGGUUUUACACUGUUUUCUUUUGGGAAAGGGAAGGCAGGGCUUGGGUCUUUGGUUGUGUUAUUAUAAGUGAUGUAGACUGCAGGGAUCUUGUCUGGUUCGGUUCGAGCUUCAAACCCCAGUUUUAAGUGUUACUAAUGUAUGUUUGAGAUAACUUUCGAAAUAUCUUGUUUCCGGGUUCGGGUCUGGUGAGAUUGAUAAUUCAAUAUUAUUGGUAAAUUUGUUUUUAUCUUGCUUUUGUGAGAUUAAAAAUACAAUGGUUUCCCUUUUGCUUGUGUUUUUAUCUUGGUAAAUUUGUGGCACAAAGUAACAUUUAG